Molecule: ribosomal RNA, 253 nt
Filed under: uncultured bacterium
Lineage: Bacteria
Description: partial 16S ribosomal RNA
Rfam family: Bacterial small subunit ribosomal RNA
Source: RNAcentral
UACGGGGGGUGCAAACGUUGCUCGGAAUCAUUGGGCGUAAAGCGCACGUAGGCGGUCCAGUAAGUCGGGUGUGAAAGCCCUCGGCUCAACCGAGGAAGUGCAUUCGAAACUGCUGAACUUGAGUAUGGAAGAGGGUCGCGGAAUUCCCGGUGUAGAGGUGAAAUUCGUAGAUAUCGGGAGGAACACCAGUGGCGAAGGCGGCGACCUGGGCCAAUACUGACGCUGAGGCACGAAAGCGUGGGGAUCAAACAGG